This 500-nucleotide ribosomal RNA is filed under the name uncultured bacterium. RNAcentral's name for it is "bacterial SSU rRNA". It matches the Rfam family "Bacterial small subunit ribosomal RNA", at positions 24 to 518 of the family's 1533-position model. The record is from RNAcentral.
UCAGGAUGAACGCUAGCUACAGGCUAACACAUGCAAGUCGAGGGGCAGCAUUGGAGUAGCAAUACUCAGAUGGCGACCGGCGCACGGGUGAGUAACACGUAUCCAACCUGCCGCUUACUCGGGGAUAGCCUUUCGAAAGAAAGAUUAAUACCCGAUGGUAUAAAGAGUUCGCAUGUUCUCUUUAUUAAAGAAUUUCGGUAAGCGAUGGGGAUGCGUUCCAUUAGAUAGUUGGCGGGGUAACGGCCCACCAAGUCUACGAUGGAUAGGGGUUCUGAGAGGAAGGUCCCCCACAUUGGAACUGAGACACGGUCCAAACUCCUACGGGAGGCAGCAGUGAGGAAUAUUGGUCAAUGGACGAGAGUCUGAACCAGCCAAGUAGCGUGAAGGAUGACUGCCCUAUGGGUUGUAAACUUCUUUUAUAAGGGAAUAAAGUGAGGGACGUGUCCCUUUUUGUAUGUACCUUAUGAAUAAGGAUCGGCUAACUCCGUGCCAGCAGCAGC